GCAGGGCAUGGCGGCAUGCGCCUGUAGUCCCAGCUACCAGGAGGCUCAGGAGGGCGGCUCGCUUGAAUCCAGGAGUUCUGGGUUGCAGUGCACUAGAACGGUCAGGUGUCUGCACUAAGCUCAGCAUCGAUACAGUGACCUCCCAGGAGCAGGGAACCAUCAGACUGCCCAAGGAGGGGUGAAUCAGCCCAGGUCAGAAACAGAGCAGGUCAACAUUCCUGCGCUGAUCAGUAGUGGGAUCGUGCCUGUGGAGAGCCAUACAAUGGGAGCCCCAAAACAAUCAGGAUUAGCUGUGCUAU
Molecule: signal recognition particle RNA, 299 nt
Filed under: Chinchilla lanigera (long-tailed chinchilla)
Lineage: Eukaryota; Metazoa; Chordata; Mammalia; Rodentia; Chinchillidae
Description: Metazoan signal recognition particle RNA (ENSCLAG00000022013.1)
Rfam family: Metazoan signal recognition particle RNA
About the family: The signal recognition particle (SRP) is a universally conserved ribonucleoprotein. It is involved in the co-translational targeting of proteins to membranes. The eukaryotic SRP consists of a 300-nucleotide 7S RNA and six proteins: SRPs 72, 68, 54, 19, 14, and 9.
Source: RNAcentral